This 72-nucleotide transfer RNA is filed under the name Salmonella enterica subsp. enterica serovar Typhimurium. RNAcentral describes it as "tRNA-Val". It matches the Rfam family "tRNA". From Rfam's summary of the family: Transfer RNA (tRNA) molecules are approximately 80 nucleotides in length. Their secondary structure includes four short double-helical elements and three loops (D, anti-codon, and T loops). The record is from RNAcentral. Lineage: Bacteria; Pseudomonadati; Pseudomonadota; Gammaproteobacteria; Enterobacterales; Enterobacteriaceae.
GAUUAGCUCAGCUGGGAGAGCAUCUGCCUUACAAGCAGAGGGUCGGCGGUUCGAUCCCGUCAUCCUCCACCA